This 1287-nucleotide long non-coding RNA is filed under the name Heterocephalus glaber (naked mole-rat). Its description in RNAcentral is "lncRNA (ENSHGLG00100044250.1)". The record is from RNAcentral. Lineage: Eukaryota; Metazoa; Chordata; Mammalia; Rodentia; Bathyergidae.
GGGGAUAGCCAGAGCGACCUCUGAUGUUCUUGGCACCGAACCACAACAGGCACAGAAGGGGCCUUGAGAUCAUCCAGUGCAGCCCCUCCCUUUGCAGAGAGGAGCUGGGGCCCAGGAGGGGCGUGGUCUGGGCCCGUUUCCCGGGUCCUUCGCCAGCCAGCGCACUGGGCACCCCAGUGACGAUUUUCACAGGGAAGAGCCAAGCAUACAGUUGGCACCAGCCAAUGUUCCAAGGUUCCUCGGUUGGAAGCUUCCUUUGGACCUAAAAUCUGGUCACUGGGAGAAGCGGCUGUGACUCAGGUCUGGAAGUCCUCUUCCAUCUUUCCAAGGUGUGAUCAAAAAUACAGUGACUGUCACUACUGAGAACAAUGCAAGAGAAAGGAGGGCUCCUAAAAACAUCCCGGUGUGUCCACAUCCAGCUUAUUCACCAAUCUUGGACGUACAACUUCUGCCUCUUCCCCAAAGUCGAAAUGAUCAUGGAAGGAUAUCAAGGCAGCCACAACAGCACAACUAAAGACAUUCAUGAAAGAGGACUUCCAGAACUGCUUCAGAAAGUGGCAAGAAUGAUGAGAUAAGUAUUUUCAAAACAAGGGGAUUUGGCCGGGGAUUUAGCUCAGUGGUGUAGCCCCCUGCUACACAAGCGCAAGGACCCAAGCUCGAUCCCCAGUAUAAAAAAAAAAAAACACAAGAGGGUUUAUUUUAGAGAGGAUUAAUGGAAAAGUGGUUUUUACCAUAAUGAAUUUUAAAAAUUUAAAAAUUCACAGUAUAUUUCAAUCACAACAUUGUUCAUGGAGCAGGGGAUAAUUGACAUCUUUACUACACUGAGACUCUUGACCAUGAACACAAUAUACCUCUUGAUAUAUUUAGAUCUUUGGUUCUUCAUGUGUUUUGUAGUUUUCAGCAUAUGAGUAAGUCCUGUACAUGUUUUGCUAGAUUUAUACCUACAUUUUUUUGAGUGAUUGGAAAUGGUAUUAUUUUUAAUUUCAUUAUCCAUGUCUUCACUGCUAAAAUGGAAACACAACUGAUUUUUGUAUGUUUAUCUGACAUUAUUCAAUUUUACUGAACUUGUAUAUAAUUUCUAGUAGUUUAUUGUGUGUGUGUGUGUGUGUGUGCGCUUUUCUACAUAACCACCAUUUGUCAAAGGGGAUAGUUUUAUUUCUUCCUUUCCAAUCCAUACAUCUUUUAUUUGCUUUUCCCACUUGUUACACUGCUGUUGACAGCAGACAUCUUGCCUUGAUUUAGAUCUUGGAGAAAAUUAGUCUUUCACCAUGAAUGCUCUUUAUUGAA